RNAcentral lists this ribosomal RNA (408 nucleotides) under uncultured bacterium. RNAcentral describes it as "partial 16S ribosomal RNA". It matches the Rfam family "Bacterial small subunit ribosomal RNA", at positions 28 to 526 of the family's 1533-position model. The record is from RNAcentral.
GACGAACGCUGGCGGCGUGCUUAACACAUGCAAGUCGAACGAAGUGGCGAACGGGUGAGUAACGCGUAAUCAACCUGCCCUUCAGAGGGGGACAACAGUUGGAAACGACUGCUAAUACAGCAUACUGAAGGAAGGGAGUGCGUCUGAUUAGACAUUUGGAGGGGUAACGGCCCACCAAGGCGAUGAUCAGUAGCCGGUCGGAGAGGAUGAACGGCCACAUGGGGACGUGUACACUGCCCAGACUCCUACGGGAGGCAGCAGUGGGUAAUCUUCCGCAAUGGACGAAAGUCUGACGGAGCAACGCCGCGUGAGUGAUGACGGCCUUCGGGUGGUAAAGCUCUGUUAAUCGGGACGCGGUACCGGAAUAGAAAGCCACGGCUAACUACGUGCCAGCAGCCGCGGUAAUUC